UGUUUUGUUUUGUCUUUUUUUUUUGUUUUUCUCUGUGACUGCGGAAGAAUCAUUAAGCGGAGUGAGGGCCUCCGGGUCCAACUUCCCACCGGUGUCUAUCGUACCUUGUUGCUUCGGCGGGCCCGCCGUUUCGACGGCGGCCGGGGAGGCUUGGCGCCCCCGGGCCGGCGCCGGCCGGAAGACCCCAACAAUGAACGCUGUUCCUGAAAGUAUGCCAAGUCUGGAGUUGAUUAUCAUAAUCAGUUAAAACUUUUAACAACGGGAUCUCUUUGUUUCCGGCAUCGAUGAAGAACGCAGCGAAAUGCGAUAAGUAAUGUGAAUUGCAGAAUUCAGUGAAUCAUCGAGUCUUUGAACGCACAUUGCGCCCCCUGGUAUUCCGGGGGGCAUGCCUGUCCGAGCGUCAUUGCUGCCCUCAAGCACGGCUUGUGUGUUGGGCCCCGUCCCCUCCCCCCGGGGACGGGCCCGAAAGGCAGCGGCGGCACCGCGUCCGGUCCUCGAGCGUAUGGGGCUUUGUCACCCGCUCUGUAGGCCCGGCCGGCGCCAGCCGACACCCAACUUUAAUUUCUAAGUUGACCUCGAUCAGGUAGGAUACCCGUUAACUUAACUAUCAUACGGAGAAAAAAAAAA
This 627-nucleotide unclassified non-coding RNA is filed under the name Aspergillus fischeri. RNAcentral's name for it is "partial contains 18S rRNA, ITS1, 5.8S rRNA, ITS2 and 28S rRNA". The stretch from base 248 to 403 matches the Rfam family "5.8S ribosomal RNA". The record is from RNAcentral. Lineage: Eukaryota; Fungi; Ascomycota; Eurotiomycetes; Eurotiales; Aspergillaceae.